RNAcentral lists this long non-coding RNA (646 nucleotides) under Rhagoletis pomonella (apple maggot). RNAcentral describes it as "uncharacterized LOC118750070, transcript variant X1". Lineage: Eukaryota; Metazoa; Arthropoda; Insecta; Diptera; Tephritidae. The record is from RNAcentral.
UGUGAACCCCUCAAUGGGUUAAAUUUAAUUAAUAAAUAUGAAAGAAAUUUUAAAGCCAGCGUUUGAUGAUACAUUUGUUACAAAAUACCAUUAUCGGAAUGCUCUGAGCGCUGCCGCUGAAAAGUUGCUUUUCGUACAAAAACACCCCUGGCCCUUGUUGUUGCGUGUCGUGUUGAAUUUACAUUUCCAAGUAAUUUGCUUGUGUCAAAAGGUACAUAGCAAGGUGAGAGUUUCGUGAAGAUUUGAGCACUCGGCAUUAGGGUACGGCUGCCAGACGUCCUUGUUUUCUAGGAUUUGUCCUAUUUAGACAAAUUGUCCUGGUGUCCUGGUCCACAUUUAAAUUGUCCUGGUUUUUAAUGAAGUUAGGCUCUCUGUCAAACUGAUAACGAAACGUUUUUUCUAACAUGUUGAAUAUCUGGAAAAUGCCAAAAAAGUGCAUGUUCCCGAUCAGGUACACGGCUGAGGGGUCAUCCAUAAUUACAACCCAGAAGGUAAUUUCAGGAGCUAAAAUCUCAUCAAAAAGGCCUUUCUUUCCUUUCUCCUUCAUUUUUGUAUGGAGUGGCAAAAAUUGAAGGUGUAGGAUGCCUUCUUAAGAAGUUCUUUUAACGUUUUUCUCAAUUCAUAAAAAUCAUACUUCUUUAAGGAA